Molecule: ribosomal RNA, 427 nt
Filed under: uncultured bacterium
Lineage: Bacteria
Description: partial 16S ribosomal RNA
Rfam family: Bacterial small subunit ribosomal RNA
Source: RNAcentral
UAGGGAAUCUUCGGCAAUGGACGAAAGUCUGACCGAGCAACGCCGCGUGAGUGAAGAAGGUCUUCGGAUCGUAAAACUCUGUUGUUAGAGAAGAACAAGGACGUUAGUAACUGAACGUCCCCUGACGGUAUCUAACCAGAAAGCCACGGCUAACUACGUGCCAGCAGCCGCGGUAAUACGUAGGUGGCAAGCGUUGUCCGGAUUUAUUGGGCGUAAAGCGAGCGCAGGCGGUUUCUUAAGUCUGAUGUGAAAGCCCCCGGCUCAACCGGGGAGGGUCAUUGGAAACUGGGAGACUUGAGUGCAGAAGAGGAGAGUGGAAUUCCAUGUGUAGCGGUGAAAUGCGUAGAUAUAUGGAGGAACACCAGUGGCGAAGGCGGCUCUCUGGUCUGUAACUGACGCUGAGGCUCGAAAGCGUGGGGAGCAAACA